GACGAACGCUGGCGGCGUGCUUAACACAUGCAAGUCGAACGGUAAGGCCCUUCGGGGUUAGUGGCGCACGGGUGCGUAACACGUGGGAAUCUGCCCUUUGCUUCGGAAUAACAGUUAGAAAUGACUGCUAAUACCGGAUGAUGUCGCAAGACCAAAGAUUUAUCGGCAAAGGAUGAGCCCGCGUAGGAUUAGCUAGUUGGUGGGGUAAAGGCCUACCAAGGCGACGAUCCUUAGCUGGUCUGAGAGGAUGAUCAGCCACACUGGGACUGAGACACGGCCCAGACUCCUACGGGAGGCAGCAGUGGGGAAUAUUGGACAAUGGGCGAAAGCCUGAUCCAGCAAUGCCGCGUGAGUGAUGAAGGCCUUCGGGUUGUAAAGCUCUUUUACCAGGGAUGAUAAUGACAGUACCUGGAGAAUAAGCUCCGGCUAACUCCGUGCCAGCCGCCGCCGUAA
Molecule: ribosomal RNA, 453 nt
Filed under: uncultured bacterium
Lineage: Bacteria
Description: partial 16S ribosomal RNA
Rfam family: Bacterial small subunit ribosomal RNA
Source: RNAcentral